UAAAAUAAUAAUUAUUUUUUAAUAACUUUACAAAUAUUAAUUAUUUUUUAAUUUCCCGUAAAAAAAUUGGCUAACUUGUGCUAUUUUCACUAAUACCGCAAAAACACGAGUGAAGGCGUAAUAAAGUUGUAAAAUUGCCAAGUUAAACCAACUCAUCGCCACUGCAAACACGGACCACAUCCCAGAAGCCAGAAACCGAUUCGAAUCUAAGGAGAAUUUUGGCGGGUAAAUGGAGCUCCUGAAGCUCUCCAAAUUCAAGCUCCAACUCCACGCCCUAAUUUCUGAAGUUCGUGAACUCAAAGUAAAAUCGCCAUUUUCAUCAUCACCUCUCAUCUCCAUAACUGAUCAUCAAUUUUCUACGUUACCGCUCAAAACAGUUUCUAUGAACUUUUAUUGCAGGAAAAAGAAGGCAACGCGUCUCAACAAAUCCAAAUUUCGGUCCAGGUAUUAGAAUAUAAUUGUGUGUAUCUUUUUAUUAUUGGUAGAAUAUUGUCUCAUUAUUGUUCAGUCCUAUAGUUGGUAGGAUUUGAUUUCCUUUAUUAUUGUACAGUCCUAUAGUUGGUAGGAUNNN
RNAcentral lists this long non-coding RNA (571 nucleotides) under Nicotiana benthamiana. RNAcentral describes it as "long non-coding RNA (NBEN_LNC012650)". The record is from RNAcentral. Lineage: Eukaryota; Viridiplantae; Streptophyta; Magnoliopsida; Solanales; Solanaceae.